RNAcentral lists this ribosomal RNA (497 nucleotides) under uncultured bacterium. RNAcentral's name for it is "partial 16S ribosomal RNA". It matches the Rfam family "Bacterial small subunit ribosomal RNA", at positions 30 to 507 of the family's 1533-position model. The record is from RNAcentral.
AUUGAACGCUGGCGGCAUGCCUAAUACAUGCAAGUCGAGCGGCAGGACGGGAUGCUUGCUGGUCUGAUGUUGGCGGCGGGCGGGUGAUUCACCCGUGGGUAACCUACCUAUAAGGAUGGGAUGACUACGGGAAGCCGGAGCUAAUACCGGAUCAUAUUUUGAACGGCGUGGUUCAAAAGGGAAAGCCGGUCUUGCUGUGCCUUAUAGGUGGUACCGCGCUGCAUUAGCUAGUUGGUAAGGUAACGGCUUACCAAGGCAACGAUGCGUAGCCGACCUGAGAGGGUGAUCGGCCACACUGGAACUGAGACACGGCCCAGACUCCUACGGGAGGCAGCAGUGGGGAAUCUUCCACAAUGGGCGCAAGCCUGACGCAGCCACGCCGCGUGAGUGAUGAAGGUCUUCGGAUUGUAAACCGCUUUUAUUAGGGAAGAACAUAUGUGUAAUUAUCCGUCCACAUCAUGACGGUACCUAAUCAGAAAGCCACGGCUAACUACGUG